RNAcentral lists this ribosomal RNA (454 nucleotides) under Streptococcus sp. oral taxon C08. RNAcentral's name for it is "bacterial SSU rRNA". It matches the Rfam family "Bacterial small subunit ribosomal RNA", at positions 28 to 466 of the family's 1533-position model. Lineage: Bacteria; Bacillati; Bacillota; Bacilli; Lactobacillales; Streptococcaceae. The record is from RNAcentral.
GACGAACGCUGGCGGCGUGCCUAAUACAUGCAAGUAGAACGCUGAAGCUUGGUGCUUGCACCGAGCGGAUGAGUUGCGAACGGGUGAGUAACGCGUAGGUAACCUGCCUGGUAGCGGGGGAUAACUAUUGGAAACGAUAGCUAAUACCGCAUAAGAGUAGAUGUUGCAUGACAUUUGCUUAAAAGGUGCAAUUGCAUCACUACCAGAUGGACCUGCGUUGUAUUAGCUAGUUGGUGAGGUAACGGCUCACCAAGGCAACGAUAUAUAGCCGACCUGAGAGGGUGAUCGGCCACACUGGGACUGAGACACGGCCCAGACUCCUACGGGAGGCAGCAGUAGGGAAUCUUCGGCAAUGGACGGAAGUCUGACCGAGCAACGCCGCGUGAGUGAAGAAGGUUUUCGGAUCGUAAAGCUCUGUUGUAAGAGAAGAACGAGUGUGAGAGUGGAAAGUUCA